This is a long non-coding RNA of Panicum virgatum (switchgrass), 1408 nucleotides long. RefSeq lists it as uncharacterized. Lineage: Eukaryota; Viridiplantae; Streptophyta; Magnoliopsida; Poales; Poaceae. The record is from RefSeq and is a predicted model, not a curated record. The transcript has 2 exons.
AUUCUAAGUGCAAAAUAAACAACAAAACAGUAACUUAAGUUAUCAUCAUAACAAAAAGGGAGGUAAAUACAGAAACAUUCUCCAAUUACAUGUAUCCUUCACACUCAAGAAGCAAAAUUCAAAAUAUGCCACAACCCAUUCAAAUUAAAUGCCACCUGAAAUGUAACGUCACUGACUGCUGACAUCAAUAAUCAGUUUUAGGCCUUUUAUGUUUCUCGUUUCAGUUAAUCAGCUCAGGGACAUAUAUAUAACCUAUUAGUACUUCGUUUCCCAUAUAGAACCUAUAAGUACUUAGUUUUCUUUCCAAAGACAUUAUUAAUAGUCAACUGAUGACCAAUAGCCUUCUGAUUAUCUGCAGGCAUUGCCAAGAUCAAACAUAUGUGUUGCUCUAAAUGCAUUCAUAAUUUUUUCAUAUGUAAAAUUUGAGGUCACAUUUGAAACUGUGAACCAAUUAAGCUGCAAAGGAGCAUUGAAAAUAAAGGGUGCAAAAUACAUCACUUACAACUCGAGGAAAGAUAACAGUUCAGAAAUACUUACUGGUGCUCUCAGGAUGAGUAUCUGCAUAUAGGUUAACAAAGGAAACGAUCAACUUCGACAAUAUUGAAGCCAACAACAAAAAAAAGGGAAAUGUUUCACAGUGCCAAGUUGACGCUGAAUAAUUGUCCCACAUUUGCAAAUAACUUCUGUAUGUCUCUACCAUAAGAUAACUAUCAGUAUUCUAAUACCAAAAGGUUGACAAAUCAGAGUUACUGAUAUUAUUUUCCUUGACUCCCCAUGUCUGGGACAACUAUUCAUCGAGUAAAGGUUAAAAAGUGUAAAAGUAAAUUAGUUCGUCAUUUGCGGUAAUAUACAACACUGUUCCUGGCCUCCUGGUAGGGUAGAUGGAACAAAGCAUAAAGAUAUGUAUGAAGAAUUAUUAACCAGGAUUUGGCAUGGAUUUAAUAAACUAUUGCAUAUAACAUCUAUCUGGAGGCUAAAGGGACUAUAGCAAUCGUGGAAUCAAAUAAUUUGGAUGGCAUCGCCAAUCUCCAAGUCAACCUAAAACUCUCUGGAUCCACCAUUCAUUUUUGUAGUGGCUAUUGACCAAUUUAGAAACAAUAAAGAGCAGUAUUUUUUCAGCUAGAUGAAAGAUAAUGGAAACAGAUUAUCUUGCAGUGCAAAACUAACAUCUCAUAUUUGAAAACUAUCACCAAGCUAAUUCCCCCUUUUGGGUGAAUGUUAAAAGAUGAUUUUGUAAUGAUCAAACUUUAUUUAGCCUUCGAACAUGCAAUUUUUAGUCAAAGUUCGUUAGGAACUUAUUAUAUCAAAAAGAUGAAACACAAACGUGACACAUGUAAUUGGCAAGCACAUCCUGACAGAAGAUAAUACAAAUCCAUAGAAAAUCAAGUUUCGAUAGCUGGCAUUCUAA